This 528-nucleotide long non-coding RNA is filed under the name Cyanistes caeruleus (blue tit). Its description in RNAcentral is "lncRNA (ENSCCEG00000020173.1)". Lineage: Eukaryota; Metazoa; Chordata; Aves; Passeriformes; Paridae. The record is from RNAcentral.
UUCAUUUCCUCUGAAGCACCAGAACUUUAAGGAGUUUUUCUCUUUUUUUAACCACAAAACUUAAAAAUGUAAUUUUUUCACUAUGCUUUACAACAGCGAUGAGCAAAUAAACAAAGUGACUUUUUCUUUUGCAAAGUCAGAAAAAAAAAAAAAAUGCUGCAAAGGAGGGUGUCCAUGGUGUCUCAGAGGAAUCCACUUGGGAAUAACACUGAUAUCCACAGAAGCUUUAUGGGAUCUGCAGCUGGAUGUUCUGAGGCCUGUGCUUGAAGGAGAACUGAUUCACCAGAAACAUCUGCUGCCAUGGCCCUUCUUUCCAAGCAGCUGUGCCUCGUGGGGUGUCCCACAUUCAGGAAUUCAGAUUAGGAAGAGGUAAAGGAAGGUUAAACAGGUGAGUCACGGUGGGCUGGAGAAUUGAAGAAUAAUCUUCUCUGAGUCGUAGGUGGGUGAAAUUCUUGCAACAUCUGAGUUGCAGAGGGCUGGAGACUUUUCUGGUCCUCUCCCUCUAUUCACCUCUCUAUUAAAAACUCC